GACGAACGCUGGCGGCGUGCUUAACACAUGCAAGUCGAACGGAAAGGCCCUGCUUUUGUGGGGUGCUCGAGUGGCGAACGGGUGAGUAACACGUGAGUAACCUGCCCUUGACUUUGGGAUAACUUCGGGAAACUGGGGCUAAUACCGGAUAGGAGCUCCUGCUGCAUGGUGGGGGUUGGAAAGUUUCGGCGGUUGGGGAUGGACUCGCGGCUUAUCAGCUUGUUGGUGGGGUAGUGGCUUACCAAGGCUUUGACGGGUAGCCGGCCUGAGAGGGUGACCGGCCACAUUGGGACUGAGAUACGGCCCAGACUCCUACGGGAGGCAGCAGUGGGGAAUAUUGCACAAUGGGCGGAAGCCUGAUGCAGCAACGCCGCGUGCGGGAUGACGGCCUUCGGGUUGUAAACCGUUUUCGCCUGUGACGAAGCGUGAGUGACGGUAAUGGGUAAAGAAGCACCGGCUAACUACGUG
This 468-nucleotide ribosomal RNA is filed under the name uncultured bacterium. RNAcentral describes it as "partial 16S ribosomal RNA". It matches the Rfam family "Bacterial small subunit ribosomal RNA", at positions 28 to 507 of the family's 1533-position model. The record is from RNAcentral.